This 555-nucleotide long non-coding RNA is filed under the name Danio rerio (zebrafish). RNAcentral's name for it is "lncRNA si:dkey-30f11.3 (ENSDARG00000097864.3)". The record is from RNAcentral. Lineage: Eukaryota; Metazoa; Chordata; Actinopteri; Cypriniformes; Danionidae.
GUCUGCAGUGGUCAUCCCUUUGGAACAUUUGCAGAUACAAAAUAUGGCCAUCCAAUAUUUGAAUCUGGCAUAUCCAGAGAGUUCCAGGAUUUGAUCACACGGUGCCUGAUACAAGAUCCAGCCAAGAGAUCCACUAUAGAAGAGAUGUUACAGCACGAGUGGUUUCAUCAGGGACAACAGCACCUCAGAAAUUAGGUUCUCCAGAUCAGGUGGAAAAACCAGCAGAAAGAAGAAAAAGUCCAAAAAACAGAAGAAAAAACAGCAGAAAGAAGAAAAAGUCCAAAAAACAGAAGAAAAAACAGCAGAAAGAAGAAAAAGUCCAAAAAACAGAAGAAAAAACAGCAGAAAGAAGAAAAAGAUCAAAAAACAGAAGAAAAAACAGCAGAAAGAAAAAGAUCAAAAAACAGAAGAAAAACCAGCAGAAAGAAGAAAAAGUCCAAAAAACAAGAAAAAACAGCAGAAAGAAGAAAAAGUCCAAAAAGCAGAAGAAAAACCAGCAGAAAGAAGAAAAAGUCCAAAAAACAAGAAAAAACAGCAGAAAGAAGAAAAAGUCCA